RNAcentral lists this ribosomal RNA (163 nucleotides) under uncultured bacterium. RNAcentral's name for it is "partial 16S ribosomal RNA". It matches the Rfam family "Bacterial small subunit ribosomal RNA", at positions 1338 to 1500 of the family's 1533-position model. The record is from RNAcentral.
GUAAUCGCAGAUCAGCAUGCUGCGGUGAAUACGUUCCCGGGCCUUGUACACACCGCCCGUCACACCAUGGGAGUCGGUAACACCCGAAGCCUGUAGUCUAACCGCAAGGAGGACGCAGUCGAAGGUGGGAUUGAUGACUGGGGUGAAGUCGUAACAAGGUACC